This 253-nucleotide ribosomal RNA is filed under the name uncultured bacterium. Its description in RNAcentral is "partial 16S ribosomal RNA". It matches the Rfam family "Bacterial small subunit ribosomal RNA", at positions 524 to 776 of the family's 1533-position model. The record is from RNAcentral.
UACGGGGGGGGCAAGCGUUGUUCGGAAUUACUGGGCGUAAAGGGCUCGUAGGUGGCCAACUAAGUCGGACGUGAAAUCCCUCAGCUUAACUGGGGAACUGCGUCCGAUACUGGAUGGCUCGAGUUUGGGAGAGGGAUGCGGAAUUCCAGGUGUAGCGGUGAAAUGCGUAGAUAUCGGGAGGAACACCUGUGGCGAAAGCGGCUCACUGGACCACAACUGACGCUGAGGCGCGAAAGCUAGGGGAGCAAACAGG